RNAcentral lists this ribosomal RNA (207 nucleotides) under uncultured bacterium. RNAcentral's name for it is "partial 16S ribosomal RNA". It matches the Rfam family "Bacterial small subunit ribosomal RNA", at positions 568 to 774 of the family's 1533-position model. The record is from RNAcentral.
CACGCAGGCGGUUUAUUAAGUUAGGUGUGAAAGUUUGCAGCUCAACUGUAAAAGUGCAUCUAAAACUGGUAGACUUGAGUCUCGGAGAGGUAAGCGGAAUUCCUAGUGUAGCGGUGAAAUGCGUAGAGAUUAGGAAGAACACCGGUGGCGAAGGCGGCUUACUGGACGAGUACUGACGCUCAGGUGCGAAAGCGUGGGGAGCAAACA